UGGAAGUAAAAGUCGUAACAAGGUGUUUUUUGGUGAACCAGCGGAGGGAUCAUUACCGAGUUAUCCAACUCCCAACCCCUGUGAAUUAUACCUUUAAUUGUUGCUUCGGCGGGACUUCGCGCCCGCCGGGGACCCAAACCUUCUGAAUUUUUUAAUAAGUAUCUUCUGAGUGGUUAAAAAAAAAAUGAAUCAAAACUUUCAACAACGGAUCUCUUGGUUCUGGCAUCGAUGAAGAACGCAGCGAAAUGCGAUAAGUAAUGUGAAUUGCAGAAUUCAGUGAAUCAUCGAAUCUUUGAACGCACAUUGCGCCCGUCAGUAUUCUGGCGGGCAUGCCUGUUCGAGCGUCAUUACGCCCCUCAAGUCCCCUGUGGACUUGGUGUUGGGGAUCGGCGAGGCUGGUUUUCCAGCACAGCCGUCCCUUAAAUUAAUUGGCGGUCUCGCCGUGGCCCUCCUCUGCGCAGUAGUAAAGCACUCGCAACAGGAGCCCGGCGCGGUCCACUGCCGUAAAACCCCCCAACUUUUUAUAGUUGACCUCGAAUCAGGUAGGACUCCCCGCUGAACUUAAGCAUAUCAAUAAGCGGAGGAA
RNAcentral lists this ribosomal RNA (586 nucleotides) under Metarhizium anisopliae. RNAcentral describes it as "eukaryotic LSU rRNA". The stretch from base 194 to 347 matches the Rfam family "5.8S ribosomal RNA". Lineage: Eukaryota; Fungi; Ascomycota; Sordariomycetes; Hypocreales; Clavicipitaceae. The record is from RNAcentral.